AACGAACGCUGGCGGCAGGCUUAACACAUGCAAGUCGAACGCAUCCUUCGGGGUGAGUGGCAGACGGGUGAGUAACGCGUGGGAACGUGCCCUUCAGUUCGGGAUAACCCAGGGAAACUUGGGCUAAUACCGGAUACGUGCGAGAGCAGAAAGAUUUAUCGCUGAAGGAUCGGCCCGCGUCUGAUUAGCUAGUUGGUGGGGUAAUGGCCCACCAAGGCGACGAUCAGUAGCUGGUCUGAGAGGAUGAUCAGCCACAUUGGGACUGAGACACGGCCCAAACUCCUACGGGAGGCAGCAGUGGGGAAUAUUGGACAAUGGGCGCAAGCUUGAUCCAGCCAUGCCGCGUGAGUGAUGAGGGCCUUAGGGUUGUAAAGCUCUUUCGUCCGGGACGAUAAUGACGGUACUGGAAGAAGAAGCCCCGGCUAACUUCGUGCCAGCCGCCGCGGUAA
RNAcentral lists this ribosomal RNA (449 nucleotides) under uncultured bacterium. RNAcentral's name for it is "partial 16S ribosomal RNA". It matches the Rfam family "Bacterial small subunit ribosomal RNA", at positions 29 to 523 of the family's 1533-position model. The record is from RNAcentral.